Molecule: ribosomal RNA, 451 nt
Filed under: Acidobacteriota bacterium
Lineage: Bacteria; Pseudomonadati; Acidobacteriota
Description: bacterial SSU rRNA
Rfam family: Bacterial small subunit ribosomal RNA
Source: RNAcentral
UUGAUGGAGAGUUUGAUUCUGGCUCAGAAUGAACGCUGGCGGCGUGCUUAACACAUGCAAGUCGAACGGACGAGUGGAGCUUGCUCCAUGAGUUAGUGGCGAACGGGUGAGUAACACGUGAGCAACCUGCCCCGAAGAUUGGGAUAACACCGGGAAACCGGUGCUAAUACCGAAUACCUUCCUCAUAUCGCAUGAUGAGAGGAAGAAAUGUUUUUUCGCUUCGGGAGGGGCUCGCGGUCCAUCAGCUUGUUGGCGGGGUAACGGCCCACCAAGGCGACGACGGAUAGCUGGUCUGAGAGGACGAUCAGCCACACUGGAACUGAGACACGGUCCAGACUCCUACGGGAGGCAGCAGUGGGGAAUCUUGCGCAAUGGGCGAAAGCCUGACGCAGCAACGCCGCGUGAGGGACGAAGGCUUUCUGAGUUGUAAACCUCUUUCGACAGGAACGAU